GAAGCUGGAAUUGCUAGUAAUGGCAGGUCAGCAUACUGCCGUGAAUACGUUCCCGGGCCUUGUACACACCGCCCGUCACACCAUGAGAGUUGGAAAUACCCGAAGCCUGUGAGCUAACAGUAAUGAGGCAGCAGUCGAAGGUAGAGCCAAUGAUUGGGGUGAAGUCGUAACAAGGUAGC
Molecule: ribosomal RNA, 179 nt
Filed under: uncultured bacterium
Lineage: Bacteria
Description: partial 16S ribosomal RNA
Rfam family: Bacterial small subunit ribosomal RNA
Source: RNAcentral